RNAcentral lists this ribosomal RNA (253 nucleotides) under uncultured bacterium. Its description in RNAcentral is "partial 16S ribosomal RNA". It matches the Rfam family "Bacterial small subunit ribosomal RNA", at positions 524 to 776 of the family's 1533-position model. The record is from RNAcentral.
UACGUAGGGUGCGAGCGUUGUUCGGAAUCACUGGGCGUAAAGCGCACGUAGGCGGAUUUGUAAGUCAGGGGUGAAAUCCCGGGGCUCAACCUCGGAACUGCCUUUGAUACUGCAAAUCUCGAGUCCGAUAGAGGUGGGUGGAAUUCCUAGUGUAGAGGUGAAAUUCGUAGAUAUUAGGAAGAACACCGGUGGCGAAGGCGGCCCACUGGAUCGGUACUGACGCUGAGGUGCGAAAGCGUGGGGAGCAAACAGG